AUGCUGACAAAGGCGCAAUGGACCGCUCUAUCGAAACAAAAGCAAGGCGGAUCCAAGAGCAGUGGCAAGAAGAAGGGGAAGGGGAAGCAGCGCUCGACGAGAAAGAAUUUCGCCGACUCGGAGGACGAGGAUGCGACUGCACCACCAAGGAGGAAGUUUGACAUCAGAAAAGUGAGGUAUCAUAAGUGUGGCCUCCUCGGUGACUUCAAGGCUGAUUGCGAGGAAGCACCGAAGCAACGGGCGCUCAUGGCUGAGGAAGGAGACGACAGGGAUAUGAUGCUGAUGUGCGAGCUAGUGGACAAGGUGGAUCUAGAUGAUCACGAUCAGCUGGAGACAGGUCCGGUGAGUGCAUCUGUGUCGAUGGAACCAGUCGAUUUUGUGGCGCCAGAAGAUCAUGACACAAGGCAUGAUGGUGUGGUCAUGCUAGUAAAACCAGCCGAAUUCGUGGCGCCAGAAGACCAUGAUGCAAGGCGUGACGGUCUAAUCACGGUAGAACCAGGCGAACACGUGGCGCCAGAAGUCCACGACUCAAGACGCGAUGGUGUGGUCGCACAAGAAGUAGGCAAAGGUGUGGCGCUAGAAGUCCACGACAUACACUGUCUCGUUAAGGUCGUACCUGAGACGAACCAAGACACGCGGCGAGUUGCAGUCGGACCAGAUGCUCAUAGUGCCAUGACGAGUUACGAGGACAUCACCCAUCGUUGUGCAUCCAACGUGGCCAGUCCAGGUGCUAGUGGCGUUGUGCGCACCACGGCGAGCAGCACUAGCGGUGCGGCAAGACAAGUUCAAGCAAGCAACAGCUCGUUUGAAAGUAGUCAACUACCACGUGGUGGCCAAUAA
This 840-nucleotide ribosomal RNA is filed under the name Triticum aestivum (bread wheat). RNAcentral describes it as "partial small subunit ribosomal RNA". The record is from RNAcentral. Lineage: Eukaryota; Viridiplantae; Streptophyta; Magnoliopsida; Poales; Poaceae.